UUUCUAGUCCUACUGGGAGAAGAGGAACAGGUUUCUAGUCCUACUGGGAGAAAGAGGAACAGGUUUCUAGUCCUACUGGGAGAAAGAGGAACAGGUUUCUAGUCCUACUGGGAGAAAGAGGAACAGGUUUCUAGUCCUACUGGGAGAAAGAGGAACAGGUUUCUAGUCCUACUGGGAGAAAGAGGAACAGGUUUCUAGUCCUACUGGGAGAAAGAGGAACAGGUUUCUAGUCCUACUGGGAGAAAGAGGAACAG
This is a non-coding RNA of Salmo salar (Atlantic salmon), 254 nucleotides long. The record is from RefSeq and is a predicted model, not a curated record. Lineage: Eukaryota; Metazoa; Chordata; Actinopteri; Salmoniformes; Salmonidae.